This 672-nucleotide long non-coding RNA is filed under the name Nicotiana tabacum (common tobacco). Its description in RNAcentral is "long non-coding RNA (NTAB_LNC014157)". The record is from RNAcentral. Lineage: Eukaryota; Viridiplantae; Streptophyta; Magnoliopsida; Solanales; Solanaceae.
UUUUUCACUUUGAAAAAGCCAAAGGCGUGGAAAAAAAAAAAAACCAAAGCCCCAACCCAACAAGUGAAAGUUGGUUGAAUGAACUAAUACAUACAUGCUUAUCUGUAUGUAUAUGUAUAGAUAUCGAUAUAGAUACAUAAAUUAUAUUUAUAAGCUGAUUGUGACUGCGUGCUUUGGUAAGUAACUCCUUGUUCCCCUUUUGGGAUGUAUUUAUAUAUUUUUGAGCUUGGUGCCCUAGGUGUUGUCGAUAAUUUGAGCUGUGGAUCUUGUCCUUUGUACUUUAUUGCGUGAUUUAGGGAUCGAUCAAGUGAACAUGUAACUUAUGAAUCGCUAAUUUUUAUUUUGUUUUUAAAUUUUUACUGUCGAAUUGUUUACUGUAGCUUAGUUAUUUUGGAGGUAAUUUUCAUUUUUUUUAGUUUGAGGGUGAAUUUUUGUGAUUUUCUAUUUUGUUCGUGUUUUAGUGUAUUCUACUCUUUUGGCUGCUUUAUUAGAUUAGUGAUGAAGUAUGGAGCUUGUUUUUUUGAUUUUACUUACGGUGUUGAGAUUUAAGUUUAGCUAUGUUUUUAUGGAACAAAGGGAGAAAUUUGACACAAUUGGACCUUUUCUUUUUCUUGCAGGGGCUGAUUGGAAAAGUGGAUAAAGAUAGUUCCUUGAGCAGAAAAAGAGAAGCUU